CUCAUAUUGAAACCUAGUGAAGUAUGAGUUAGUGGCGGACGGGUGAGUAACGCGUGGAAAACCUGCCGUAUACUGGGGGAUAACACUUAGAAAUAGGUGCUAAUACCGCAUAAGCGCACAGCUUCGCAUGAAGCAGUGUGAAAAACUGAGGUGGUAUACGAUGGUUCCGCGUCUGAUUAGCUAGUUGGUGGGGUAAAAGCCUACCAAGGCAACGAUCAGUAGCCGGCCUGAGAGGGUGAACGGCCACAUUGGGACUGAGACACGGCCCAAACUCCUACGGGAGGCAGCAGUGGGGAAUAUUGCACAAUGGGGGAAACCCUGAUGCAGCGACGCCGCGUGAGUGAAGAAGUAUUUCGGUAUGUAAAGCUCUAUCAGCAGGGAAGAAAUACUGACCAUAGGGUCAGCAGACGGUACUUGACUAAGAAGCCCCGGCUAACUACGUGCCAGCAGCCGCGGUAAUACGUAGGGGGCAAGCGUUAUCCGGAUUUACUGGGUGUAAAGGGAGCGUAGACGGCAGCGCAAGUCUGAAGUGAAAUGCCAGGGCUUAACCCUGGAACUGCUUUGGAAACUGUGCAGCUAGAGUGCAGGAGAGGUAAGUGGAAUUUCUAGUGUAGCGGUGAAAUGCGUAGAUAUUAGGAGGAACACCAGUGGCGAAGGCGGCUUACUGGACUGUAACUGACGUUGAGGCUCGAAAGCGUGNGGAGCAAACAGGAUUAGAUACCCUGGUANUCCACGCUGUAAACGAUGAU
RNAcentral lists this ribosomal RNA (749 nucleotides) under uncultured bacterium. RNAcentral's name for it is "bacterial SSU rRNA". It matches the Rfam family "Bacterial small subunit ribosomal RNA", at positions 70 to 813 of the family's 1533-position model. The record is from RNAcentral.